GUAGCUCAGUGGUAGAGCGCUUGUCUUGCAUGUAUGAGGCCCUGAGUUUGAUUCCUCAGC
Molecule: transfer RNA, 60 nt
Filed under: Dipodomys ordii (Ord's kangaroo rat)
Lineage: Eukaryota; Metazoa; Chordata; Mammalia; Rodentia; Heteromyidae
Rfam family: tRNA
About the family: Transfer RNA (tRNA) molecules are approximately 80 nucleotides in length. Their secondary structure includes four short double-helical elements and three loops (D, anti-codon, and T loops).
Source: Rfam by way of RNAcentral